UAGCAAAUGACCUGCACGCUACGCAGGAA
Molecule: small RNA, 29 nt
Filed under: Bombyx mori (domestic silkworm)
Lineage: Eukaryota; Metazoa; Arthropoda; Insecta; Lepidoptera; Bombycidae
Description: ovarian small RNA-22207
Source: RNAcentral